Dermochelys coriacea (leatherback sea turtle) is the source of this 156-nucleotide long non-coding RNA. RefSeq lists it as uncharacterized. NCBI's taxonomy places the organism in Eukaryota, Metazoa, Chordata, Testudines, Dermochelyidae. The record is from RefSeq and is a predicted model, not a curated record. The transcript is spliced from 2 exons.
UGCUCUGUUUUCCUGUUCCAGGGUUCAUCUGAGCCAAGUGCACAGAAGUCAACUGGCAAUCUUUUAACAACCCAACUUUUCUACACAUCUUAUUUCAGCAUGGUACCUGGCAAUCAUUUCAGAAUUGUUGGUUAAAUCUAAAGCAAGAGUAUAUUU